This 499-nucleotide ribosomal RNA is filed under the name uncultured Glomeromycotina. Its description in RNAcentral is "partial small subunit ribosomal RNA". It matches the Rfam family "Eukaryotic small subunit ribosomal RNA", at positions 591 to 1092 of the family's 1831-position model. Lineage: Eukaryota; Fungi; Glomeromycota. The record is from RNAcentral.
CCAAUAGCGUAUAUUAAAGUUGUUGCAGUUAAAAAGCUCGUAGUUGAAUUUCGGGAUCAAUAUGUCGGUCGUGCCUCGGUACGUACUGGCAUCAUUGGUUUCUCCUUUCUGAUGAACCAUGAUGCCAUUAAUUUGGUGUUAUGGGGAAUCAGGACUGUUACCUUGAAAAAAUUAGAGUGUUUAAAGCAGGCUCACGCUUGAAUACAUUAGCAUGGAAUAAUGAAAUAGGACGUUUGAUUCUAUUUUGUUGGUUUCUAGGAUCGACGUAAUGAUUAAUAGGGAUAGUUGGGGGCAUUAGUAUUCAAUUGUCAGAGGUGAAAUUCCUGGAUUUAUUGAAGACUAACUACUGCGAAAGCAUUUGCCAAGGAUGUUUUCAUUAAUCAAGAACGAAAGUUAGGGGAUCGAAGACGAUCAGAUACCGUCGUAGUCUUAACCAUAAACUAUGCCGACUAGGGAUCGGAUGAUGUUAAUUUUUUAAUGACUCAUUCGGCGCCUUACG